This 444-nucleotide ribosomal RNA is filed under the name uncultured Gammaproteobacteria bacterium. RNAcentral's name for it is "bacterial SSU rRNA". It matches the Rfam family "Bacterial small subunit ribosomal RNA", at positions 20 to 475 of the family's 1533-position model. Lineage: Bacteria; Pseudomonadati; Pseudomonadota; Gammaproteobacteria. The record is from RNAcentral.
UGGCUCAGAUUGAACGCUGGCGGCAGGCCUAACACAUGCAAGUCGAGCGGCAGCGCGGGGCAACCUGGCGGCGAGCGGCGAACGGGUGAGUAACGCGUAGGAAUCUACCCAGUAGUGGGGGAUAGCCCGGCGAAACUCGGAUUAAUACCGCAUACGCCUUAAGGGGGAAAGCAGGGGAUCGCGGACCUUGCGCUAUCAGAGGAGCCUGCGUAGGAUUAGCUAGUUGGUAGGGUAAAGGCCUACCAAGGCGACGAUCCAUAGCUGGUCUGAGAGGAUGAUCAGCCACACCGGAACUGAGACACGGUCCGGACUCCUACGGGAGGCAGCAGUGGGGAAUAUUGGACAAUGGGGGCAACCCUGAUCCAGCCAUGCCGCGUGUGUGAAGAAGGCCUUCGGGUUGUAAAGCACUUUUGUUCGGGAAGAAAUCCGAUGGUAACCUGACGG